AUGGCGAAGGGCGGGAAGGGGCUGAACGCGACGGGCGAGUUUUUCCGGCGCCGUGACGAGUGGAGGAGGCACCCUAUGGUGGGGAACCAGCUGCGCCACGCCACUCCGGGGCUAGGCAUCGCCAUCGUCGCCUUUGGGAUCUACCUUGUCGGCGAGGCCGCCUACAACCGCCUCUACCGCCCCGCCGGCGACAACCACCACUAG
Molecule: ribosomal RNA, 204 nt
Filed under: Triticum aestivum (bread wheat)
Lineage: Eukaryota; Viridiplantae; Streptophyta; Magnoliopsida; Poales; Poaceae
Description: partial small subunit ribosomal RNA
Source: RNAcentral